GCAGUCGCCGCGGUAAUACAGAGGGUGCGAGCGUUAAUCGGAUUUACUGGGCGUAAAGCGUGCGUAGGCGGCUUUUUAAGUCGGAUGUGAAAUCCCUGAGCUUAACUUAGGAAUUGCAUUCGAUACUGGGAAGCUAGAGUAUGGGAGAGGAUGGUAGAAUUCCAGGUGUAACGGUGAAAUGCGUAGAGAUCUGGAGGAAUACCGAUGGCGAAGGCAGCCAUCUGGCCUAAUACUGACGCUGAGGUACGAAAGCAUGGGGAGCAAACAGGAUUAGAUACCCCGGUAGUCCCUGUCUCUUAUAC
RNAcentral lists this ribosomal RNA (302 nucleotides) under uncultured bacterium. RNAcentral describes it as "partial 16S ribosomal RNA". It matches the Rfam family "Bacterial small subunit ribosomal RNA", at positions 508 to 807 of the family's 1533-position model. The record is from RNAcentral.